RNAcentral lists this ribosomal RNA (437 nucleotides) under uncultured bacterium. Its description in RNAcentral is "bacterial SSU rRNA". It matches the Rfam family "Bacterial small subunit ribosomal RNA", at positions 28 to 481 of the family's 1533-position model. The record is from RNAcentral.
GAUGAACGCUGGCGGCGUGCUUAACACAUGCAAGUCGAGCGAUGAAGUUUCCUUCGGGAAACGGAUUAGCGGCGGACGGGUGAGUAACACGUGGGUAACCUGCCUCAUAGAGUGGAAUAGCCUUCCGAAAGGAAGAUUAAUACCGCAUAAUGUUGAAAGAUGGCAUCAUCAUUCAACCAAAGGAGCAAUCCGCUAUGAGAUGGACCCGCGGCGCAUUAGCUAGUUGGUGGGGUAACGGCCUACCAAGGCGACGAUGCGUAGCYGACCUGAGAGGGUGAUCGGCCACAUUGGGACUGAGACACGGCCCAGACUCCUACGGGAGGCAGCAGUGGGGAAUAUUGCACAAUGGGGGAAACCCKGAUGCAGCAACGCCGCGKGAGUGAWGAAGGUUUUCGGAUCGUAAAGCUCUGUCUUUGGGGAAGAUAAUGACGUACCCA